UGUGUAGGCGGGCGGGUAAGUCGGACGUGAAAACUCCAGGCUUAACUUGGAGCCUGCGUUCGAAACUACCUGUCUUGAGUACGGGAGAGGAAAGCGGAAUUCCUGGUGUAGCGGUGAAAUGCGUAGAUAUCAGGAGGAACACCGGUGGCGAAGGCGGCUUUCUAGCCCGAUACUGACGCUGAGACACGAAGGCUAGGGGAGCAAACA
This 207-nucleotide ribosomal RNA is filed under the name uncultured bacterium. RNAcentral describes it as "partial 16S ribosomal RNA". It matches the Rfam family "Bacterial small subunit ribosomal RNA", at positions 568 to 774 of the family's 1533-position model. The record is from RNAcentral.